Molecule: ribosomal RNA, 428 nt
Filed under: uncultured bacterium
Lineage: Bacteria
Description: bacterial SSU rRNA
Rfam family: Bacterial small subunit ribosomal RNA
Source: RNAcentral
GGUGUCAGCAGCCGCGGUAAGACGGAGGGAGCAAGCGUUGUCCGGAUUUACUGGGCGUAAAGCGCGCGUAGGCGGCCUAUUAAGUCGGCCGUGAAAUUGCGGGGCUCAACUCCGCACCUGCAGUCGAUACUGAUAGGCUCGAGUCCGGGAGAGGGAAGCGGAAUUCCUGGUGUAGCGGUGGAAUGCGUAGAUAUCAGGAAGAACACCGGUGGCGAAGGCGGCUUCCUGGACCGGUACUGACGCUGAGGCGCGAAAGCUAGGGGAGCGAACGGGAUUAGAUACCCCGGUAGUCCUAGCCGUAAACGAUGGUCACUAGGUGUUGCGGGUAUCGACCCCUGCAGUGCCGAAGCUAACGCAUUAAGUGACCCGCCUGGGGAGUACGGCCGCAAGGUUGAAACUCAAAGGAAUUGACGGGGGCCCGCACAAGG